Molecule: ribosomal RNA, 383 nt
Filed under: uncultured bacterium
Lineage: Bacteria
Description: bacterial SSU rRNA
Rfam family: Bacterial small subunit ribosomal RNA
Source: RNAcentral
UACAGAGGGUGCGAGCGUUAAUCGGAAUUACUGGGCGUAAAGCGUGCGUAGACGGUAGCGUAAGUCGGAUGUGAAAGCCCCGGGCUCAACCUGGGAAUGGCAUUCGAGACUGCUCUGCUAGGGUGCGGAAGAGGGAAGCGGAAUUUCCGGUGUAGCGGUGAAAUGCGUAGAUAUCGGAAGGAACACCAGUGGCGAAAGCGGCUUCCUGGUCCAGCACCGACGUUCAGGCACGAAAGCGUGGGGAGCAAACAGGAUUAGAUACCCUGGUAGUCCACGCCAUAAACGAUGAGAACUAGACGUUGAGAGGGUAAGCCUCGCAGUGUCGUAGCUAACGCGCUAAGUUCUCCGCCUGGGGAGUACGGCCGCAAGGUUGAAACUCAAAG